Spinacia oleracea (spinach) is the source of this 955-nucleotide long non-coding RNA. RefSeq lists it as uncharacterized. The transcript is spliced from 4 exons. The record is from RefSeq and is a predicted model, not a curated record. NCBI's taxonomy places the organism in Eukaryota, Viridiplantae, Streptophyta, Magnoliopsida, Caryophyllales, Amaranthaceae.
GUAUUAACGGAGGAGCUUCAAAAGUUGUUCAAGUUCGGCUCAUUUUUAUUAGACCGAGCCCGAGCCCGAGCCCAAUUUGCACCUAAGGAUAUAGCGGGUCUGGCGGCUAACUUUCCCGGCGUUCCAUCUUCCCCGUUUCAUUUCUAAGGUUUUCAGCAAUGAAACGCCACCCGUUUCGCAGUCGACGACUCACAGCACAAGCCGAAGCGCAGGAUAUGAAGCGAAAUAUUUGAUUACUUGCAGUCAACUGAGUUCCAGAGUCCCGCGCGCAACCUUGUGGAAUUUCAUAGUAGUAUCAACUGUCUUGGGUUCAGGGAGUGAAUGUAUUUAGGAAACCCUUUUUCCUUCUUUUUUCUUUUUUGGUUUCUUGUGGAUGAAAUGGAGCAUACACGUGCACGGAGAGGCCACAUUUGAAGCGUUGCUACUCAUGGCUUCUGGUUUGAUCCAUUUAAUGUAGAACUUUGCAACAAUCUUCCUCGGGAUAACGUUUCUUCCAGAGUUCCAGGCCAGAUCUGCAGCAUUUAGGAAACUCAAUGUCUCUAAAUCUUCGAGCAAUAGCAAUACCAGCAAGUAUGUGAAGAGAAAUACUUGUCCUGGAAAAUUUGAAGAAGAUUUCGAUAUUGAGGCUGAGGAAUAUAUCAAACAAAAGCUUAAGCGCAUUAUUAUGGAUGGCGAUGUUGAACAAAAGGAUAAUGCUAGCAAGCAAGAAGAAGAAGAAGUCUAUGUAGAUGCCAAAGCAGAGGAAUUCAUCAAGCAAAAGAAGUCAGAACUCAGCAAGGUCUACAUGAAUGUUGGGUAAAUACUAAAUACCUGCACAUUUUUAAGCUUUCACCUGCUUUUUCUGUUCAUAACUGGAGAGGAAUGUGCCUGGUUGCAAAUAUAUGAUUUCCGUAUUAUUAUAUGUUCCCCCUUUGAACCAAAUUAUAAAGGAGAAAUAAUACUACAUUACUACUUA